GAUGAAGAACGUAGCGAAAUGCGAUAAGUAGUGUGAAUUGCAGAAUUCAGUGAAUCAUCGAAUCUUUGAACGCACAUUGCGCCCUUUGGUAUUCCAAAGGGCAUGCCUGUUCGAGCGUCAUUUGUACCCUCAAGCUUUGCUUGGUGUUGGGCGUCUUGUCUCUAGCUUUGCUGGAGACUCGCCUUAAAGUAAUUGGCAGCCGGCCUACUGGUUUCGGAGCGCAGCACAAGUCGCACUCUCUAUCAGUAAAGGUCUAGCAUCCAUUAAGCCUUUUUUUCAACUUUUGACCUCGGAUCAGGUAGGGAUACCCGCUGAACUUAAGCAUAUCAAUAAGCGGAGGA
This 341-nucleotide unclassified non-coding RNA is filed under the name soil metagenome. RNAcentral's name for it is "partial contains 5.8S ribosomal RNA, internal transcribed spacer 2, and large subunit ribosomal RNA". The stretch from base 1 to 120 matches the Rfam family "5.8S ribosomal RNA", at positions 35 to 154 of the family's 154-position model. The record is from RNAcentral.